This 132-nucleotide ribosomal RNA is filed under the name Meriones unguiculatus (Mongolian gerbil). Lineage: Eukaryota; Metazoa; Chordata; Mammalia; Rodentia; Muridae. The record is from RNAcentral.
CCUCCAUACCACCCUGAACACACCCCAUCCCAACUGACAUCAGAAGCUAAGCAGGGUCUGGCCUGGUUAGUACAUAGAUCAAAGACUGCCUGGCAAUACUGAGUGCUGUAUGCUUAAAACCCAGGAGGCGGU